This is a long non-coding RNA of Camelina sativa (false flax), 888 nucleotides long. RefSeq lists it as uncharacterized. NCBI's taxonomy places the organism in Eukaryota, Viridiplantae, Streptophyta, Magnoliopsida, Brassicales, Brassicaceae. The record is from RefSeq and is a predicted model, not a curated record.
UUGUUCAGUGAAAUAGUCAGUGACUGACUAGUUGAUUUCUUUUUAGUUAGCGAGAGCUGCUUCAUUUUGUGCAGUAACGUGGCGGUAUCCUUAUUGUGUAUCGAGCUAAUCUCCGAAUUGUCUGCCUUACAGAAUUUGCUUCUUCAAAUUGAUGAAGAAUUCAACAUUUUUGAAGUGCACUUCAUUUGUAGGUCUCGAGUCUUCCUUUAUAUAUAUAUUCCUGCAAAGACGUCAGCUGAGUCAAAAGAAGGAGAUCUUAAUUCCUCUUAUAGUGGCCAUAGAUUUGCAGUCUAUGGCUCCAAUUGAAGGUGUUAUCCAGGUUCAAGGGGACAUGACUUAUGCCCGGACUGCUCAAGUGACACUUUGACGGCUGUAAAGCGGACCUGGUUGUCUGUGAUGGUGCUCCAGAUGUUACCGGUUUGCAUGACAUGGAUGAAUUUGUCCAGUCCCAACUCAUUCUAGCGGGCUUAACGAUUGUAACCUAUGUUCUUAAAGAAGGUGGAAAAUAUAUUGCAAAGAUAUUCCGCGGAAAAGAUACAAGUCUCUUGUACUACUGAACUGAAGUUGUUUUUCCCAACUGUGACUCGAAACCGAAAAGCAGCCGCAAUUCGAGUAUAGGCGGUGAUGGAAAUCAAAAAGAUGACAAAGAAGACUUGAUGCAAAGAUUCAAAGGUGGUUCCACGUCUCAAUCUCAGAUGCCCCUUUUGUCGUCUAUCUAUAUGUGUGUAUAGAGAUGUUUCUACAGAUAGAAAAAAUGGAAAGGAUGUAAUUAGUGAGUGGAAUCAUUUAUUAUUGCUUCCUGCUCUCAGAGAGUUAUUUAUCCCCUAGCAACAGUUUUGUAAAAAUGUUUUUGCAAUUCAAGAGAGACCUUUGGAAGAUGAGAACAAA